CUCACGAUCCUAUAAAUAUCCCGUGGGUUUGCAUUAACAGAACUCACUGCACCUUUGCUCUGCAUGUAAGAUCAGCUCAACCAAUGACUUCUCCAGCACGUGUCUCAGCUCGUGGAACAGAGUGGAUCCAACAUCAGAUGUUCUCCCUGGUGUAGCUCAGCUUCUGGUGUCAUGGAGUCCUCUCUCUUAUCUGCUGCAGUGAUCCUGUGACCGACCAUUUUAGUCACGGCAACACAAUGAGUGAGCCAUGUAGCUGCGUUCCCACUAGAAGACACUCAGAUCCCAGCAAUGAACACCACUUGGCCAUGGUGUGAUCCUGUUUGAGUGCAGUACUGAAUUCUAUUCGGUAACGAUUCAUUUUGUCCAUUGUACCAUCAUUAGUACAUUUUCUUGGUUAUAUAUCCUUCAUAUACUCUCAAAGGUCCUGUUCUUAAUAGCUUGAUUGCUUUAUGAAGAUAUUAAAGAUUUUUUAAUUUAUAUUUUCACAAAUUUCACUAGCCUUGGAAAACAUAUGAAACUUGCUACAAGAUAUAAAGGACUUACCUGUGCAGUUGCCAGAAGCUAGGGCUAUUAGGACCUUAGUGUUGGCCACCUUUACCUAUUUUCAUGAUUCUCAGGCUUGAAUGCACAUUAAAAUCGCCUGCAGAACUUUAAAAAUUACUCAUGUGUAUGUGUGUGGGGGGAGGGGUGAUAGAUAUGCUGUUAUUUUGAUUCAUCCCAUAAUACAAACAUUUAUCAGAACAUCAUAUUGUACUACAUACACAUACACAUUAUCUUCUAUCUGUCUGUCUGACUGUCUAUCUCUAGCUCUCUAUUUAUCUAUCAUCUAUCUAUCAUUUAUCAAUCUCUAUCAACUAUCAACUAUCUAUCUAUCUAUCAUCUAUCUGUCUAUCUAUCUAUCUAUCAUCUAUCUAUCUAUGAUUGUUAUUUGUCAAUUCAAAUUUUAAUGCACUGAUGCCUGAAUACCUCCCAAUACCUACUGUUUUAAUGGUCUGGUAAACAGUCUGGGCAUAUGCGGUGUUUUUAAAAUUCUCCAGGAGAGUAUAACAUGUAGCCAGCAUUUGGAACUACUUACAACAUUCAGCAAUGAGGAAUUUCACUCAGGAUAUUAGUCUAACUUCAUCUUUUUUCAAUGAAUUUUAAUGAUUUAUGGUAAUCCAUAAUAAUGCUCGUUUCUUCCCUGCUUUUAAACUGAUCCUAGAAUCUUGCAAAACACUGUUGCAUGAUUGUUUUUUGCUGUGUUGGAGUCUGAUGUACUCAUUGAGGUUACAUAGGAAAAGUAAACUCUCUCUUCUUGGUGGGAAACCUAUUCACACUUUAAGAGAACUCUCAGAUUCUGCCUACGUCUUCACUUCAAAGGCCCCUGCAAUGGUUUGUUAUGUAAUUCUAGAUCUGUGCUGCUGUGGGAUGUUCUGUAUGGCAAAUGUGUUGCUAAUUAGUCAAUAAAUAAAACACUGAUUGGCCAUUGGCUAGGCAGGAAGUGUAGGCGGGACCAGGAAGAGAAUAAAGCUGGGAAGUGGAAGGCUGAGUCAGAGAGACACUGCCAGCCGCCAUGAUGAGAAACAGCAUGUGAAGGUGCCGGUAAGCCACAAGCCAUGUGGCAAGGCAUAGAUUUAUAGAAAUGGAUUAAUUUAAGCUUUAAGAACAGUUAGCAAGAAGCCUGCCACGGCCAUACAGUUUGUAACCAAUAUAAGUCUCUGUGUUUACUUGAUCGGGUUUGAGCGGCUUGGGACUGGCGGGUGAGAGAGAUUUGUCCUGACUGUGGGCCAGGCAGGAAAACUCUAGCUACAAAUGGCGCCCAACGUGGGGCAAGAGUUUCCACCUAAAAACUGAAAAAAAAAGAUACUAAAACGGAGCUAAAAACAGUUUCCUAAUUGUCUCUCUCAAAUGAGCGGCAGCUACCAGUUUGAGCUACUGGUGGGUUCCUAGAGUGCAUGCUCAACCUGCAGUAUGGCGGGAAUGAGGCCUCUGCAAGUGGCACAUUAAGCUACAUGGUGGAUUUAGCCUUUGCUAGUACAAAACAAAAAAGGGUUUCUGGGCUACUUGCUGCUUGGAUAAAAGCAUAGACCCACGAUAGCUCCCAGAGCUGGCGGUAAACCACAGCCAUGUUGGGAAGCUGAGGUGGGCGGAGCCAGCAGCCACAGCUGCUGCAGUUUAAGGCAAUAGAUUCACAAUAAGACAGAUUCAGAUGUAAUAGUUUACAAUGUGUGUAAAAUAUACGUAGGCUUGAAAGAGACAAAAAAGGUGAUAUAUACAGUUAUAGAAACAAAUACAUAGUUUUAAAAAAUAAUGUCUUUAAAGAGACAAUAAAGGUAGUAUAAAAAAUAAGCCACGUAAAAAUGGAUAUUACACAGAAAAUCUGGAUUGUGUUGUCUUUGGGAUUUUUAACUGCAGAAAAACAUUUGAUUGUAAAAGCUGUUGAGUUAAACCAAUAUAUAUAUUUUAAAGAUACCUUGACUUCAAAAUUUGGAUAUAAGGAUGUGUUGCUUUGGAAAAGAGUCUCUUUUGUUUCCACAGAAAGCCAGAGGCUAUAGAUUUGUUCCAGAUUAAGAUACAUCAGGUUUGACCAGCCAAGACCCCCUGAAAGGUCUCCGAUGACACCAUGGCCCAGAUGAUCCAACAUCCAGAACGGUUUGAAGGCAUCUGGCUCAGACGAUACAGCCUCAUGGACUAUUCCAUAAUCCUAAAAUUUUCUUUGUUUCCCCAUAAGAUACAGCGCCCCCCUCCAACAGGAAGUAGUAAGAGAAGCUACGCCCAAAUUCCCAAAUUAUAUGUAAUAAAUUAUAUGUGGCAAGGCAUAGAUUUAUAGAAAUGGAUUAAUUUAAGCUUUAAGAACAGUUAGCAAGAAGCCUGCCACGGCCAUACAGUUUGUAACCAAUAUAAGUCUCUGUGUUUACUUGAUCGGGUUUGAGCGGCUUGGGACUGGUGGGUGAGAGAGAUUUGUCCUGACUGUGGGCCAGGCAGGAAAACUCUAGCUACACUGUGCCAUCCUGUUUGUCUCUAAACACAAUUCCACCAAUUUAAGACCACUUCGACAAACCAGAAAACUAUGGAAAUAUCAGUCAGGUAGUUGGCUGGGCAGGGGAGUAAGC
This is a long non-coding RNA of Peromyscus californicus insignis, 3092 nucleotides long. RefSeq lists it as uncharacterized. The transcript has 3 exons. The record is from RefSeq and is a predicted model, not a curated record. Lineage: Eukaryota; Metazoa; Chordata; Mammalia; Rodentia; Cricetidae.